AUUAAUUAACAAUCAAUUUUUUAAAAAAAAGCAAUCAAUCAUUUGAUUAAUUACUUUGUUUCUAUAUGUCAUUAUUGUUUGAUAUAACCUAAAAAAGGGCACAAGAAGCACAUUGAACUCUAUGUGAAUUUCAUUUCCUUGAUGUUUAAUCUAACCUAAAGGUUUGAGGACUCUUAACCAUACACCAAUAAUGGGCCUAGUCAUACUCAAUCAAUGUGACUUUAUUUUCUAAACAUCAUCUAAUAAAUAUAAUAUACAUUUUAGUAAUUACUUAGAACGGACAAAAAUAAAAUAUUAUUUUGAAAGUAUAAUACUGGCGGCUUUAACUUGCUUUUUUACUUAAUGUAAAAUAUUAUUUUAAAAGUAUAAUACUGUCGGUUUUAACUUGCUGUUUUCCUUAAUGGCUUGGUAACCAUGAUAAAGUUAAAUAAAAAAAUUGGCCAGAUUUUUGUCCCUUUUUAUUUCUUUUCAUUAUGUUUGUAAAUUUGGCCACAAACUUAACAAGUGAUUCGUUCUGAUAACUCGUGACACUCCGCGACAAAGUUUCUUCGUCGUACAUCACUUCAUUUAUAAUCACGAGUUUUAUAUUUCGUUAGCCUUUUUUUUUUCCCUAAAGUGACGUAGUAAUUUCAUUAAACAGCCAACAAUACAACACCACAUUACCCAACAGCAGAUUAGGACCGAUUUAAAAUACUAACACAAUAGCCCAAUCAGUCAUGCUGUUACUCUCACGCUAAAAUAAUUUAAGAAUAAUGAUACUUCAGUAAAGACAGAGUCAAUAAGUAUUUUUUUCAUUGAUAAUCAGGAUAAAAACAAACAGUCAUUUAUCUUAUCAUUUUAUUAUUUUAUUUCCAUCAUUAUUAUUCUCCCUCGAGAUGACGAGGGAAACUUUGUGAACUCCUGACUCACCUUAAAAUGCCAUGCAACAAAGAAAGAAGCAUUCCUUUGAAACUUAUCUAGAAAAUCUUCAGGUUGUUUCUGUGAACACAUUUUUUGAGAAAGUAAGAAGCAUUCCUAUGAAAUUUGUCCAGGAAAUCAUGAAACUCUUUCUAUGUACACAAAUUUUAUUUUUAUUUUUUAACAACAAAAAGUAAAUUCAUCCUCUAAUUGAUCUUCUUAAACAAAUUUUCAUUUUCCAUGUUUUAUUUAAUUUUUCUUUUGAUGUUGUCAGUGAUUUCUUUCAUGUAGAAAGUCGAAGAAAACUUAAAAUUUGAGGAUUUUUUUGGUAGUUUGCUUGCUUAAAAGUUGGUUCCAGAGUUGAUAAUGGUUGUCUUAAGUUUAUGUUGUUAGCCUAAUAAUCAAUCUCAUGGCUUCUAAAUACCCUCAAUUCCUGAACUAAUUUUUUAUUAUGAGUUAGUCUCAUGGACCUAACUUAUACUUAAAAAGUCAGCAAAAGAUUCAGGGAUUGCUAAUAUUAUUAGUCCAAUAAUUGAUCUUAGUUGGUAUUGAAUAUUUUCCCUACUGAAAAGAAGAGGAAGAAGUAAACUUGGGGGUGGACUGGCUGUGAUGAGAAUUCAAUAGGAGCUUGAAAAAGGGAGGGCAAAAAAGUAAAAAUCGAAUGGAUAAUAAUUACUAGUAAGGCAUUAGAUUUUGGACUUCAUCGUUUUUUUAAUACCUUAAUAAUUGGUUUUUAUGUACUUGAUUGUGACCAAUUCGUUUUAUAUACCUCAUUUUCAUUUUUAAUGAUAAAUUAUUUAUAACUAAAUUUUGAUAAAUUAGCAUUCAAUCCCAAACUUAGGUUUAACAUGCUAAAUUAAUAAUUUGAUAAGUUUAUACGAUAAUAUAUUAUUAAAAAAAGCUAUUGUUUUUAUAUAGGAUCUCAACACUACGUAAAUUAAUAUUACAUACACAUGUGAACUGGAGUAUUUUUCAGAUUUUUGAAGUCUAAAAAUAGACAAUAAAACAAAAUGUGAACACUUCUAGUCAAAGAGUAUUGAAGCGUAGUCGAAGAUAAUAGCUUUAUCUCAUUGUAAUCUUUUAUGUUAUCUUUAUUUAUUGAAGUGGGAGUGAAGAGUAUAGAUUCAUCUCACUCUAGUGUUUAUUUGCAUAUUUUAAGGGGGAAGUGAGAAUUUCACUCCUACCCCCACUCAUUUUUGGAGUGGUGAGUGAGAUUCCCACUCCUAUGUGGGGAGAUGAGAAUGGAAAUCCACUCUCACCUCUUC
RNAcentral lists this long non-coding RNA (2162 nucleotides) under Citrus x clementina. Its description in RNAcentral is "Citrus clementina (C. clementina) long non-coding RNA (CCLE_LNC005212)". The record is from RNAcentral. Lineage: Eukaryota; Viridiplantae; Streptophyta; Magnoliopsida; Sapindales; Rutaceae.